GGCCUAGGGUGUGAUUGUUUGUUUGUGAUUGGCUGUGGUGAUCUUUGUUUUCGUGUGUGAGUGACGUGGGUGGGUGUUUUGGAUCAGGUUAGCCAUAUUGAUUUGUAUGCUGUUGGUGGAUUAUUGUCAUUGUCUUGUUGGGCUGUGUAUGUGAUAAAGGGGAGCCAUACCGGGGUGAAGGCGUCUUCUUCUGUUUGUCCCCGUGUCAGUUUCAGUUUAUUAGUUAAUUUUUCUAGUAGGGCUGUUUCCCAUACUAUUUGGUACCAUUGGUCCAUGCUUACUCCUGACAGGUGUCUCCAGUGUCUCGUUAUGGUGUUUCUGGCUGCUGAAAGUAGGUGGGUUAUGAAUUCCUUGUGGUGUAAAUGAGCUUUGUUGUCGUGGAAGAUGUUUAGUAGGGCCAAUUCUGGGGUGAUAUCUAAUACUUGCUUAGUUAUUUUACAUAUUUCUCGUAUGGCUGUUGUCCAGAAUAGCUGGAUUUUGGGACACUCCCACCACAUGUGGAGGUAUGUGCCUGUGGAGGUGCACCCUCUCCAGCAUUUUGGUGAGGUUCCUAGACGUAUUAGCGCUAGUUUCCUUGGUGUUAGGUACCACCUGUAGGUGAGUUUCAGUGUGAGUUCUUUUCUUUUCGUUGAUAUGGAUUUAAAGGGGGGUUUAGACCACAUUCUGGUCCAUUGAGUGGGGUUAAUCUCAUAGUCUAUGUCAUUCUCCCAUUGUUUUUUGAUUGCGUCUAGGGGGUUUGUGGGAUUUUGGAGUAGUAUUUUGUAUAUUGCAGAUACCGUCCCUUUACCAUUUCCCUUUGUUGUUAGGAGGAGGUUUUCAAAGGUUGUCAGGGGCCUAGUUGCUGCUAAUUUUACUGUUGGGUUGUUUAAGAGGGCAUGUAGUUGGUGUUGUGUUAACCAGGGCAUUUGAACGGAAAGUUCUUUUGAUAAUAUUUUUGUCUUGGUACCAGGAUUAAAGACUGAAUAUUUGCCUCCUGCAUUCACUGUUUUCUGCUGCCUGCUAAUUAAAGGUAAAGGUAAAGGUACCCCUGACCAUUAGGUCCAGUCGCGGACGACUCUGGGGUUGCAGUGCUCAUCUCGCUCUAUAGGCCGAGGGAGCCGGCGUACAGCUUCCGGGCCAUGUGGCCAGCAUGACUAAGCUGCUUCUGGCGAGCCAGAGCAGUGCAUGGAAAUGCCGUUUACCUUCCCGCCAGAGUGGUACCUAUUUAUCUACUUUCACUUGACGUGCUUUCGAACUGCUAGGUGGGCAGGAGCAGGGACCGAACAGCGGGAGCUCACCCUGUCACGGGGAUUCGAACCGCCGACUUCUGAUUGGCAAGCCCUAGGCUCUGUGGUUUAGACCACAGCGCCACCCAUGUCCCUGCCUGCUAAUUAAUCCUGGCUAAUUAAUAAAUACCUCCUGCUGCUUCCUGCUUCCACAUUCCAUCCUCACAAAGGGAAAAGUCAGGAUCAGAAAGUGGUUCUUCCUACCUUUACUUUGGUGUAUUCUGCAUAAGAUGCAUUGCAUAAAUGGCAAUGGGAAGCAGGGGAGGAAAUAUAUGCAAGUACUGUGCAGCAAACACUGCCCCAUGUGUGUGGUCUCCUUCACUGAAAUGUUCCAACUUUGCAACCCAUGAAUAUGGUGAUGUUGUCAAGUGUGUGGAUUCAUUUCAUAUUGGGAAUAUUUAAAAGAAUGGACACCAUAAAGUAGAUAAUUUUGUUACAAUUGCCAAGUUUCAAAGCAAAACCUGAGUUUGUGGGACAGCAGUUUAAUUAAUGUUAGUUGGCUUUACAGAACAGAGCAUUUGAUAGUGUGUGACAUUUUCUCUGCUAUGUCCAUAAAGCAAACUAAUCCCUAGUGUGGAUUUAUUUAAGCCUUUUUAUUAGGAGAGACUGUGUCCCCUUAACCUGCUGUACUAAGGUUCAUAGUUUCAAAAGAGUUAAUAGCAAGGCAUGCACACCUAUGUCAGACCUUCUGUUAGCCUUGCAGAAACUCUGCACCUCCGUUUCUUGUUAUUUUAGCUGAGAGAAAAGCCCAAACAGCUUAGGAAGGCAGGAAUAUUUGACAGGCAGCCAGGCAUUGUGUCAGUUUCAGGAGAGAAAUAGAUUUGGUAAUCUUUGUAAAGAAAUAGGAUGUUUUAAAACUGCUUAGGGUGCAACCUGUUUUAAAAAUGGUUAGGAUGGGAAUACGAAAAACUGAACUUGCCAUAUAUUGAAUGGUUUUAAGAUUAAAAGAGAAAGCCCACAAAUCUUUCCUCGGAAUGCCAGUCUGAGUGAUGAAAAUAUAUAAUCUUUGAUACCCUUGAGCAAAAAUGGAUGGCUAAGGCUUUAGUCCUAACCUCACUUACUUGGGAGUAAGCCCCACUGAAGUAAAAGGACUUGCUUCUAAGUAGAUAUAGUAUUGUGCUGUAAUUAAGAAACCAAAAAAUUAAUUCUUGCUUGUAGAAUAGCUUCCUUGUAUAUGAACAUUCUGGUGUACUGCUGCUCAUUGGGCUUCCCUCCCUUCAUCAGCAUUGUGCAGUAAUUCAAGGAUCUUCUCAGAUGUUUCAUAAACAAAUUCUAAUACUUCCUGAAGGGAAUUGCUUCCUUCAGUGGUUUAGGACUCCCCCAGGACAAUGAACAGAAAGAGACUUGUGUUCUUACAGCCUGCAACAGUUCUGCCUUUAUUCCAUUGUGCUUUUAUGAGUUCGGUUCACCUCUUCAGACUUUCACAUCACCUUCUCCUGCAACCUGACCCUUUUAAAACUUAAGAUACUAGGGACUGAACCUGGGACUUUCCAUGCAAAGCAUGUGCUUUCAACUAUCAUCCCUUCCACACUAAGCAGUUGCAAGACUGCAGUAGUUUGCUAACAAUCUGAGGGGUAAAUCAUAGCAGGGAAGUAGGAACAGGCUAUCCUAGCUGCUGGAAAUGGUGAACUCUCUGAAGAGUUUAUAAGACAAAAUACUGAAUCAAUAUAGAAAAGAACACUCAGUGUUAAAAUAAUAUCUAAUAGCUUUUGUUGAUUAGGGCCUAAUUGUUUGUAGCCUUUAUUUAUGAUGCUUUGAAAAGAAAUCUGAAAGCAUCAUGGAAACAAAUACAUCUAAGUAAACCACCACCCAUUAUUUUACUUGAUCAAAGUAAUGUAAUGACUGGAGACAAAGUAAUGUCUAUAAAAUGGCUGCUGAAGGAUGCUGUUGGUCUUCCGAAAUAGAGCUGGGUGGGAAAAGUCAAGUAGGAAACUAAGACAGAUGGACCCACCAAACAUACUUUGCAAGUUAAAAAUAUAUUGUACUGUGUGCCUACAUUGAUCUGGUAAUUUCAUGCCUAAAAGUUCCCUGUGGAAGAGUGGUUAACUGCAUCUGCUGGAAAUGACUUGACCCUGGCCUGUUAAGGGCACUGUGGAGGCCCAGUGAAACUCUAAUCAUGGCAGAGCACGUGGUGACAGUUUGAAUUCAUCUUUCUCCCUCUUCUGUAAUGAGGAAAAGAAACAGAUUCAUAUAACUGCCGCAUGAGAUGUAUCAUUCUGUCUUAAAACUGAAAUUCUUUUAUGAUUCAAAAUAAUUGGGGUUUGUUUGGGUUUUUUGGUUACUAGACCAAAAAGAAGAAGAGAGAUUUAAAGCACUUUAGAAAGUAUAUACUAAAUAAGCACAUCUAUUUUAUGUUAGAGUAAAAAGCUUUUUGACACAAAAAUGUUUCUUCUUCUAAUAGACUAAAUAUGCUGUGGAGAAUCCUUUGAUUCCAUUCAACUGGCAAAACAAAAUUAUUAUCUAAAUACAGAAACUUUAUCCAUUUAAAAGAGAAAAUUCCAUGAUUCAAAUAUAUUCUAUCAUGUAAGCUGGACAUAAAACAUUGUAAGUGAUGAAUGGUAACAUCACUUGCUAAUGACAGACAACUUUGGUCAAAUUUUUAAUGCCUUUUGCAUUGUUUAUUUCUUAAAGUUAUCUGAGUUUAUCAUCAGAUUUGAGAACACAAAGGAAGGGACUUCUGAGCAACAUUAAACUACAUUUUACAGAAGCAAAUAGAUUUCCAUUCCUCUUUUUAUUAUUUCUAAGGAAGAGUCUUUGUAAAAUUCUCAUAUAAUGUAUUCUUUUGUUUGGAAAGAUAGUUGGCAAAUAGAAUAUUUGAAGCCAAGGCACCUAACUGCAUGCAGAAGAAGCUCCUAGACCAGGGCUCACUUACAUUAGUAAAACUUAACAAACUACAGGUGUAUUUUGUUGUUGUUGUUGUUCAAACUGUAGCUGAUGUUGCUGAGAAAACAGAAUUGGACCUUAGUAUCUCUCUGUGUGUGUGUGUGUGUGUCCCAUGUGCUCCUAUAAAGAGAAUAACAUGGAAUCACUCCCACAUCUGUUUCCAUGGGAACAAUGAAAUGUGUUAGAUAAUCAUUCAUGGCUGUUUCUGUGAGUGCUGGAAAUUGUACCAUGAAAUUUGUCAAGGCUGAUAUCACAUGCAGAGACAACUCACUCCAGUUGAUGAUUUGCUGCUGUUUUAAUUGCUGUUUUAUUUCUGUUUUGAUUGUUCAACUGCUUAUUGUAUUUUAUUGUUUGAGUAUGUUGUAAAAAGCCCUGGAAUUAUUGAUGAAGGGCAGUAUAAAAAUCCUAUAGGUAGCUAAAUAACUCACUCACUCACUUCCUGUCUGUAAAGGUGUGCCCCUAUAGAAUGUGUAAACCAGAUCUGAAUCUUAGGAUUUAUUUUGUACACCCACACCAAAGAACUAUACAUAUUGGAAGCUGUGCACUUUCAUUUGAACUUCUGACUCUUAGUUAAGCUCCAUGUACUUACCCAGCAAACAUACUUCUAUAUUGAUUAUUUCAUUACAUAUGAGCAAGGCCGCUUGUGACUUCAGUCAAUGGCUGUUACUAAUCUCUGGUCAGCAAGCUGUGGCAGGAAGGUUUUCUGUUCAUCAAGUGAUGAUUAGAGAAUCUUAUUGUCUCCAUUCAGUAUUGUACCAUACCCUCACAGGUGUCUCCGCUAAGCAUUGAUAAAAGAUGGAAUUUUGUUUAGAGUUACUUUUUAAUAGCCAUGUUUAUUACACCACUGUAAUAGAAUCCUCCAGAAAACUGGUUUUUUAUAUAUCCGUUUUCUGGAGGAUUCCAUUACACAGAUGUAAUAUUAAACAUACAUUAUUUUAUAUUGAUAGAUAUAGAUACAAACAAAAAUUCAUGCAUGUGUGUGGUAUGUUAAGGAGAAUGUAACUUGUGUGGUUAAUGUGUAGAACAACCAGCCAUUGUGCACAUUCACCAGGCCCCAUGAAGAAUGUGCACAUAAUCCAUGAAGAAAGAAUUGUGGACAUUUCUCAGUAUAUGUACAUAAUCUGCAACAGGCCUUGGGGAAUGUGUAUGUUUCAACUUUCCCUCCCCUCCCACAAUUCUGAUAGAAAUCACACACACACCCCAUCCUGCCAUUAAGCCUAGGAACAAUGUACAAAAAGCUUAGGGAGAAUGUAGAAAAAUUAGCCAAUAUAUGCACAUUCCCCAAGACCUGUUGGGAGAUUGUCUAUUUUGAGCAGAAAAUGUGCACAAUGCCCUCUUUAUGUGUGCAUUCUCUAUGAGGCCUGGUGAAUGCACACAAUGACUGGUUGCUAUACACAUUAACUACUCAACUUACAUUCCCCUUAACUAAGACGGCGCAUGCACAUGCACUAGGUUGGAUUUUUGUUUUCUAUAAUAUUAGCUGGAAUUUUGUUCAUUAUAUUAUUUUAGGGGGGAAUAGUGGGCCUCACCACAGUAGCAGUGAUGCCACUUCGUUACUAGCACAAAUCAGCACUGAUUUUUUUUAAAAAAAACCCAAAUAUGAGGAAUGUUCUGCCUUUGUAAUGUUCAUAUGUAAUCUACUCUGCAGGCAUUGCAGGGUUAGGCAUGGAAUUUAGUUAGAACAGCUUUUCAGAUUAG
RNAcentral lists this long non-coding RNA (5846 nucleotides) under Podarcis lilfordi (Lilford's wall lizard). The record is from RNAcentral. Lineage: Eukaryota; Metazoa; Chordata; Lepidosauria; Squamata; Lacertidae.